AAAAAAAAUUUAUAAACUUAUAUCCUGUACUUGUAUACAGAGCAUCUCUAUCAGGCAUAUGCUAUUAGCUCACAAUUAAUGUUCACACGAUUUCCAUUUUCCCUCUCUUUUGGAUAUUUACACUUCUCAACUGGUUUCACAUGCACUCCAUGAUUACAUAAUAUGAGGCAAGAAAAUUUUCAAAACUGGGGCCUUGGAAGAUAUUUCGAUGGUAUCCCCAUAUCGGAUAGAGUGAAAUACAUGAGAGCCAUCUAUAUAUAUUAAACCCUUCUCAGAAAACCAUCUGGCUUCCAUGGACUGAUCUGAUUUUAUUAUCCCAUGCAUUAGGCUAGAGAUGGCGGCUCCAGGUGAAAUAGGCUCUCUUACCAUGUAUUGGAGGUCCUGAGAUAAAAUAGGCAUUACAAAUCCACCUGCUGAGAGCAUUGCAGCAGUUGAUCCGGCAGCAGUUGAGACUCUGAGACCACUUGAUCGGCAAUUUGCUAAUGGAGUACAUGAUUCACCAUCCCUUUGGAUUCUGCCAAGAAGUACAAAAUGGAAUAGCAUGGGAUACCAAAGUAAUAAAUAUAACGCGUGUUAGCUCAAGUUCAAUUGGGAAUCUCUUACUUGAAUGAGAACCGUGAAACUGUUGCAGGACAUGGAUGUGCGAUCAAUAUGUCAUUAAGAGCAUAUGUUGACAGCAGUUGUGAAUUUGCACUUACUGACAUCCUUGAUAUAUUAGAAGGAAUUUUUUGACCCCCAAGGAUGUCAUCCAGUACUUGCUCAAAGUUUUUGACAGUAGCUGCACAUAGAUGGCCAGUACUUCUAGUAGCGUCAAAAUCACCGCUGAAUUCCUCCACCUCUUCAACUUGUGUGGGGUCUGAGUUCACUCCAAGAACUGGAAUUGAGUCAUCCAUGAAAUGACUUGCUUGCAAAAGAGUGCCAUCACCACCAACAGUAAUGACUAAAUCGAAACCACGAAUUGGUUGCAAAAGAUCAGUGCGUAAAAUGGGUUCCCAAUCAACUGACUUCUGCCGCAAAAUGUCUUGACAGAAGUUUACGGCAUCCUUGUGAACCUUACGCCUAUUAUCCAGAUAGCGUAACACCUGAGGAUUGGUGAUGGAAGGGAGGUUCUUAGAUUGGCCAAACGGGUAAACGUUAAAUGGUUUCAAGAGCAACAACAGCCUCCGUAUUGCCAUCUCUUGAAUUCUGUCUCUCGUGGGUAAAGCGCUAAAACAAGAAGAGAAGUGUUUUCAGUUAGAGAUUUGUGAGGUGGGUUAAGAGGAGCUAGCGUGAGAAUUGAGCUGAUUUGGAGCUUCAGUUCAGAUUCUGUCAACACUUCACAAUAAGCGU
This 1329-nucleotide unclassified non-coding RNA is filed under the name Hevea brasiliensis (rubber tree). The record is from RNAcentral. Lineage: Eukaryota; Viridiplantae; Streptophyta; Magnoliopsida; Malpighiales; Euphorbiaceae.